AUGGAACACAGGACACACAGUUUUGUUUUCAUACAAAACUUCUAUACCAAGAAAAUAUUUCAAAAUUCCUAAGUCUUUAAUUCUAAAAGUUUCAUGCAAAAUAUGUUUAAUACGCUUGAUUUCAACUUCAGAAUUACCAGUUAUCACGAUAUCAUCGACAUAAACAAGUAAAAACACAGUUAUCUCAGAUUUAGACAUCAUAAACAGAGAAUGAUCACACUUACUUUGCACAUAACCAUUUUUAAUUAAAACACUUGUAAGCCUCUCAUUCCACUUUCUAGGUGCUUGUUUAAGUCCAUACAAGGACUUAACAAGUUUACAAACUUUGGUUUCACUUUUUGAAUAAUAACCUUGAGGAAGUUUCAUGUAAACAUCCUCACUAAUAGUACCAUGUAAAAAAGCAUUAUCUACAUCAAGUUGGUAUAAAGACCAACCAUAAAACACAGCAAGAGUAAUAACAGUUCUAACUGUUACCAUCUUAACAACAGGUGAGAAUGUCUCACCAAAAUCAAGUCCUUCUCUUUGGUUAAAGCCUUUGGCAACAAGCCUGGCUUUAAACCGUUCAAUCUCCCCAUUUGAUCUAUAUUUUACCCGAUAUACCCACUUACACCCAAUAGGCUUUCGACCUUGAGGAAGAUCAGCCAAAAUCCAGGUAUUAUUCCUGAACAAAGCAUCCAUCUCUUUGUUCAUGGCUUCUACCCAUCUGGGAUCACUAGCAGCUUCCUCAUAAGUUGAAGGCUCAAUAGUUUUAUUAAGAGUAGAGGUAAAACAUCUAUUUUCAACAGAUAAACACGAAUAACUAACAACUUUGUUCAAACUAUACUUAGUUUUACUAUUUAACACAUAGUUUUCAAAUCUUUUAGGUAAUACAGAUUUUCUACUUGACCUUCUAAAAGAAGGACUUGUUCCCUCAGAUGGGUUAACCUCUUCAUUUGAGACACUAGUGCCCUCUGCCCUACCACAUCCUUCACUACUACUACUUCCAGUUCCAGGAUCAAAAUGUUGGUGAUCAACAUUAACAUUCUCUGGAACGGCAGAUGUAGAGGGGACUGGUUGCUGAUCACCACCAGAAACCUCAUAAGGUUUAUGACUCCCCUCUUCAUCAUCGGGAACAGCAGAACUGACUGUUAAUAUUUCAGCAUUAUCAAAAAAAUUUAAAUGAUUCAAUUCAGU
RNAcentral lists this long non-coding RNA (1173 nucleotides) under Helianthus annuus (common sunflower). Its description in RNAcentral is "sRNA HanXRQr2_Chr11g0519791". Lineage: Eukaryota; Viridiplantae; Streptophyta; Magnoliopsida; Asterales; Asteraceae. The record is from RNAcentral.